CAGGGGGUACUGGUACAGAGUCAAUGUGGAGGCUAUAUACAGGGGGUACUGGUACAGAGUCAAUGUGGAGGCUAUAUACAGGGGGUACCGGUACAGAGUCAAUGUGGAGGCUAUAUACAGGGGUACUGGUACAGAGUCAAUGUGGAGGCUAUAUACAGGGGGUACUGGUACAGAGUCAAUGUGGAGGCUAUAUACAGGAGGUACUGGUACAGAGUCAAUGUGGAGGCUAUAUACAGGGGUACCGGUACAGAGUCAAUGUGGAGGCUAUAUAAGUAAUAUGUACAUGUAGGUGGAGUUGUUAAAGUGACUAUGCAUAGAUAAUAACAGAGUAGCAGCAGCAUAGAAGAGGGGGGGGGAGACAAUGCAAAUAGUCUGUAAAGCCAUUUGAUAAAAUUUUCAGGAGUCUUAUGUCUUGGGGGUAGAAGCUGU
Molecule: long non-coding RNA, 429 nt
Filed under: Salmo salar (Atlantic salmon)
Lineage: Eukaryota; Metazoa; Chordata; Actinopteri; Salmoniformes; Salmonidae
Description: lncRNA (ENSSSAG00000105356.1)
Source: RNAcentral